Molecule: long non-coding RNA, 601 nt
Filed under: Nicotiana benthamiana
Lineage: Eukaryota; Viridiplantae; Streptophyta; Magnoliopsida; Solanales; Solanaceae
Description: long non-coding RNA (NBEN_LNC038234)
Source: RNAcentral
GAUAGAGAUGCGGACAGAAGCUUGCCUGCUGGUUUAGGGGUUGCUAAUUUCCUCAGUUUGCCCAAUUUAUUUAUCCUAUGAAAUUGGUGAUGAGGUACAUAAGUUUGCAUAUAUCUGAGGAUUGAUAUGUUUUGUUCCAUUAGAGACUUCCUGAUUUCUAGAGUUCUUUUAAGUCACACGAUAAACAGAUCUUUUCUUUCUCUGACUUGCUUCUUUUUAGUAGUGUUAUGUUUUAUAUCUUAAUGCAUUCAGAUUCUUUAAUUGGUACCAAAAUCACGUUGUCAGGCAAUAGAAAAUUUCAGGAUGAAAGAGGUUUCCUAGUUUCAUUCACAUGAGCUAGCCUUGGCAAUGCAAUAGUUGGACUUUGAUGAAAAUAAAGUAAACGUGCUACAUAUGAGGACUGCUAGGAUGGAAAUAAAGUAAACGUGGUACAUAUGAAAAUAAAGUAAAUGUGUAGAAUCUGGUUAGUCUACGACCAUUUUUUGCUGAAUUACAUUCUAAAUGGGUCUGCGACCAUUUUUUGGUUGAAUUACCUUCUAAAUGUUUUGUUGCAUUUGCAAUGGAUGAUGAAAAAUAAAUAAAUGUUCAAGUCUUCCUUCUC